Long non-coding RNA from Zonotrichia albicollis (white-throated sparrow), 1390 nucleotides. The record is from Ensembl. NCBI's taxonomy places the organism in Eukaryota, Metazoa, Chordata, Aves, Passeriformes, Passerellidae.
AUGACUUUGCCUGCUCUGAUUGUUUCUGAGAUGACCCAGCAGAUGAGCGAGGCGGAGCUGGAGUUUGUACAGAUAAUCAUAAUCGUGGUGGUGAUGAUGGUGAUGGUGGUGGUGAUCACGUGCCUGCUGAACCACUACAAGCUCUCUGCGCGCUCCUUCAUCAGCCGGCACAGCCAGGGCAGGCGGCGCGACGAGAACCUCUCCUCAGUAAGUCACACCCUGCUCCUCAGCCACACAGGCCAGGUUGUGUUGGGCCUUGGCAUCAUCUGUCUCUGUUAUGGGGGUGAAGGGGCAUUUUUGGGGUGCCUCUGGCUCUUUAGGAUGCUGUGUGUAUGGACAACCAUAGCCUCUGCCUUUGCCCUGAGCUUUGCAAUUUGGAUUUUGCAUUAGUGAAGGGACUGCACAGGGAUGUUCUUGGCAUGUCCUGCUCCUGAAACCACCACCCCCAGCUGGUUGGGGUUCAUCUGCCUUGGUUUAGCAGUCCCAAACUACCCAGUCCUUUGGCUUCAGUUGUCUCAAGUGUCUGUAUAAAAACUUCCUUGGCUGCCCUGCAGAGAGCAGGAAAUCGUGAGUAACAUUAAUUUGCUCCAGUUUUCACCAGUGCUGCAGCCAUUACUGUGGUGGAAAGGGCAGAAAUCACUUGUCAGCCAGACCAGCAGAGAUCUCUCCAAGGGGAUGUGCGAGAGGCUCUCUUAACCCAGGCUCCCAGCUCCAUAAAAGCCUGAGGAGAAAUGUGUGAAUUGUACCUCUGACAGGGAUUUGAGGGGAAGCCUCAGCAGCCUCAAGGCAGAUGUUGGUUUCUGCAGUUUUUUCAAAUGUAGUGGCUCAGAGAGACUUAGAAGGAUGUAUAGAGAAAAGACAUCACAUUUUCUUGGAGGGGAGCAUGUACUGUUCACUUGUGCCUCCCUGGCUUUGUCUUCAGUGCAGGGAUGUCUUGUACAGAUAUUCUCUUUUUUAGCAUUCACCCUGAAGGGUCUUAGAACCCUUUAAAUGGGGCUCCCUCAAGGUCACUGCUGCCUGCCCCCUCCUCUGCAGGCUGGACACACCACUGGUGCUGUGUGCUGCUCUGUGUGGGGCUGUGCCCCCUGAAUCAAAUCCAUACUUGCUGCAGGAAAAAGAUUGAAUACAGAGAUUGCUCAGGGGUCCUUUUUUCUAUUUUUCCAUUUUCUUUCCUCUAUUUUUUUUUUUUUUUGAGAGGGAUAUCUAAGAUCUCUCACUAAGCCAUCCUUCAGUGCAGUUGCAGGCUGCCCGGGGCUGUCCCUCGUAGCUGCUGUUUUGUCACACACCACACACUGCAGACAGAGGUCCCUUCUUGUCCCUUCUUGGCUGCAUUUUGAGGGGGAUGCCCCGUGGGAAGGAGAGCUGUGCCAACCCCAGCCCCAUUAACCCC